RNAcentral lists this ribosomal RNA (373 nucleotides) under uncultured bacterium. Its description in RNAcentral is "bacterial SSU rRNA". It matches the Rfam family "Bacterial small subunit ribosomal RNA", at positions 525 to 896 of the family's 1533-position model. The record is from RNAcentral.
ACGGAGGGUGCAAGCGUUGUUCGGAAUUAUUGGGCGUAAAGCGCGUGUAGGCGGUUUGUUAAGUCUGGUGUGAAAGCCCUGGGCUCAACCUGGGAAGUGCAUUGGAUACUGGCAAACUUGAGUACGGGAGAGGAUAGUGGAAUUUCGAGUGUAGGGGUGAAAUCCGUAGAUAUUCGAAGGAACACCGGUGGCGAAGGCGGCUAUCUGGACCGAUACUGACGCUGAGACGCGAAAGCGUGGGGAGCAAACAGGAUUAGAUACCCUGGUAGUCCACGCCGUAAACGAUGGGUACUAGGUGUUGCGGGUAUUGACCCCUGCAGUGCCGAAGCUAACGCAUUAAGUACCCCGCCUGGGGAGUACGGUCGCAAGACUA